GACGAACGCUGGCGGCGUGCUUAACACAUGCAAGUCGAACGGUGAUGGCCAGCUUGCUGGUCUGAUCAGUGGCGAACGGGUGAGUAACACGUGAGCAACCUACCCCAGACUCUGGAAUAACCAUGGGAAACGAUGGCUAAUACCGGAUACGAGACGUACACGCAUGUGUGGUGUCUGGAAAGAUUUAUCGGUCUGGGAUGGGCUCGCGGCCUAUCAGCUUGUUGGUGGGGUAGUGGCCUACCAAGGCGACGACGGGUAGCCGGCCUGAGAGGGCGACCGGCCACACUGGGACUGAGAUACGGCCCAGACUCCUACGGGAGGCAGCAGUGGGGAAUAUUGCACAAUGGGCGCAAGCCUGAUGCAGCGACGCCGCGUGAGGGAUGACGGCCUUCGGGUUGUAAACCUCUUUCAGCAGGGAAGAAGCGAAAGUGACGGUACCUGCAGAAGAAGCGCCGGCUAACUACGUGCCAGCAGCCGCGGUAAUACGUAGGGCGCAAGCGUUGUCCGGAAUUAUUGGGCGUAAAGAGCUCGUAGGCGGUUUGUCGCGUCUGCUGUGAAAACCUAAGGCUCAACCUUGGGCUUGCAGUGGGUACGGGCAGACGAGAGUGCGGUAGGGGUGACUGGAAUUCCUGGUGUAGCGGUGGAAUGCGCAGAUAUCAGGAGGAACACCGAUGGCGAAGGCAGGUCACUGGGCCGCAACUGACGCUGAGGAGCGAAAGCAUGGGGAGCGAACAGGAUUAGAUACCCUGGUAGUCCAUGCCGUAAACGUUGGGCACUAGGUGUGGGGCUCAUUCCACGAGUUCCGUGCCGCAGCAAACGCAUUAAGUGCCCCGCCUGGGGAGUACGGCCGCAAGGCUAAAACUCAAAGAAAUUGACGGGGGCCCGCACAAGCGGCGGAGCAUGCGGAUUAAUUCGAUGCAACGCGAAGAACCUUACCAAGGCUUGACAUACACCGGAAACUUCCAGAGAUGGUUGCCCCGCAAGGUCGGUGUACAGGUGGUGCAUGGUUGUCGUCAGCUCGUGUCGUGAGAUGUUGGGUUAAGUCCCGCAACGAGCGCAACCCUCGUCCCAUGUUGCCAGCGGGUUAUGCCGGGGACUCAUGGGAGACUGCCGGGGUCAACUCGGAGGAAGGUGGGGAUGACGUCAAAUCAUCAUGCCCCUUAUGUCUUGGGCUUCACACAUGCUACAAUGGCCGGUACAAAGGGCUGCGAUACCGCGAGGUGGAGCGAAUCCCAAAAAGCCGGUCUCAGUUCGGAUUGGGGUCUGCAACUCGACCCCAUGAAGUCGGAGUCGCUAGUAAUCGCAGAUCAGCAACGCUGCGGUGAAUACGUUCCCGGGCCU
Molecule: ribosomal RNA, 1341 nt
Filed under: uncultured bacterium
Lineage: Bacteria
Description: bacterial SSU rRNA
Rfam family: Bacterial small subunit ribosomal RNA
Source: RNAcentral